AAGCAAGACUUUGAUUUGUUCAGGUUUCCUUAAGGAGGGACACAGAAUCCUUGAAGCAUGAUUUGAAAAAGAUGGAUAAGAUAUUCUACCCAAAAUUCAACAUCACCUUUAAUCUUGCCCUCUCCUCCUCUAAUCCCUAGGUAAUGUUUUGUGCUUCUUUUGCAGAAAAGCAAUUUUGUUAAUCACUUUAGCACCAAUUCUUGCAUCCCUGGCAAUACUCAGAACUGCUUCCAUCCAAGUCUUUGAUGUGGGAAAGAAACACACACACACUCUUUCGCAUGUAAUCUGAAAACAAUUCACCUCUUGCCAAUGAAUGCACAGCACUCCACUUUAAUAGAGAGCAAGUUCUGUGGAGGUUUCUAAUCCUUUCUGCCAAAGAAGAGAAGAGAGAGAAUCACUCAGCUUCUAUUGCAGAUGUGAAGUUUAGCAUUUCUUUGCUCACUCUUUUACUGGGAAACUCUUCUAGCGGAAAGCCUGUCAUCUGUUGUGAAGGAGAGCUGGUGUUGACUUGAAGCAACAGAGUUGGUGGUCCAGUGGCCAUUGUCCUGUGUUAGGAGCAGGUGGUCUCGCUAAGCUCCAUGUGUUUGGAAAUUUCUCUGACCAGUGCUUGUUCUGCUAAAGGAAGAAGAGCUCAAGCUGCACUCCUUGUUUCCAGGAUCCCAUCCAGAAUACAUUACCUUUAGUCAUCAUGUCUCCUGUGGCUCUUCUUGGCUGUGACAGUUUCUCAGCUUUCCCAGUUUUAAUGAACUUGCCAUUUUCAUCAGAUUGUACCAAGACCUACUAUCAAUAUGACUUAUGACUAGUGGUGCUGACCUUGAUCACCUGGCUGAGGUAGUUCUUGUCAGGCUUCUCCACUGUCGAGUUGCUCUCCCCAUCCCCCUUUUCCAUAUUGUACUCUUUGAAAGAAAGUCACUAUAUGCAGCCCUUCCUUAAAAAUAUUAAAAUGAACUAGCUUAAUUAAGUUCUUUCUUACAUUUAGGUGUAAAUACCUCUGAGGUUUUUUUCUUUUAAAAAAUGAUUAUCUAUGUAAUACAUACUCACUGCACAAGACUUUAAAAAUGCAAGAAAAGUAUAAAGCAGCAGCAAAUAGAAC
RNAcentral lists this long non-coding RNA (1093 nucleotides) under Homo sapiens (human). RNAcentral's name for it is "PREDICTED lncRNA (TCONS_00033255)". The record is from RNAcentral. Lineage: Eukaryota; Metazoa; Chordata; Mammalia; Primates; Hominidae.